Harpegnathos saltator (Jerdon's jumping ant) is the source of this 1346-nucleotide long non-coding RNA. RefSeq lists it as uncharacterized. The transcript is spliced from 3 exons. The record is from RefSeq and is a predicted model, not a curated record. NCBI's taxonomy places the organism in Eukaryota, Metazoa, Arthropoda, Insecta, Hymenoptera, Formicidae.
GGCCAAUUGAGCUUGGAUGGAGCUGAAAGGGCUCGUGGCGAGCGAUUUGGUGGUGGGUCGCGUAGCUCUCGGCGCUACGCUCUCACCGGCGCAAAAAAUAGUUGACUGUACAAUGUGAUCGGAUCGAUGUCGACGGAGAGGGGGAAAGCGGAAAUGAGAGAGUAGCGACACGCUAGAGCACCGGGGCUGCGAGUGAUCCACUUUAUAUCAAUUAUUCCUAGAGAAAUAUUCAUCGGGGCUAAUUGCUGGAGGUUGAACGCGCGCACCGCGUUGAGUUUACCAACGAUACGUUAUUCAUACAUAGAUAUCAACUAAUAACCUCGCUGUAACCUCGUUUACAGACUACGUGUUCUCGUGGUGAGAGUACACGACGCUUCAAUUGCGCUCCAGCGCUCGCCGGGCUGAAAGUAACCGCUAUAGUUUACUCCAGACGUCCAGACGUCGCGUCUACGCGUUCGACACGCGUUCGACGUGCCGUUUCAUAUUAUAUAUCCUGUCGCAUUUCCAAACGCAACGAGCACGACCGCUGGCAAGAGCGACUGGAUGAGCUUUUUGGCCUGGCAAAUGUUGAGGCUUUAUCGAAGCUUGGUGUGCAGAGUCCGCCUGCACCAAUUUUGCGGUAGAACGCAAAACGCUUCGGAUCGGUUCCGAUUGCGCGAGACCCAAGCAGAGAGAUCACACGACAUCUCCGCAUUUCGUCACGACAUCGAGGAGAUCGCGCCGCAGAAGCGUAAAUUGACGGUUACGCGAGUCGCUGGAUUUACAGAGCGCUUCGCUCCGACGGGCUUUCAAGCGGAGAUUUAGUUACCGAGACAUCGAGGAUAUCGAGGGGGGACUCGACAAGCCAUGACAAAGAAGAAGCGCCCACGGUGACUCUUUCCCCGAUACUUGCCCCUCGAGGAGAUUCUGACUUGAAAUUUUCACCGAGUACAUUCCAAAGUAUUGUUUCCGUGGCGGUCUCAGACGGUCGGUAUCCUUGUCGGCGCGAAGGAGUCCGUAUCAGCUGGGAUCUUGACGCGUUGUUUUCUCCUCGUUCUUUUCGCGAAACGCAAGGGAUCCCGGCCGCAGCACUUGGACGACGUUCGUGCGUCUCUUUGGCAAAACAUACCUUCGCGAUUCGUCGUUUCCAGUGUGCUUUCUCAAGCCUCCGCUCAGGCCGAUUUCAUCGGCGCUACGAGUUAUCAUCGCCCGCGAUGUAUUUGCUGCGUUAUUAGCGUUCAGUUCGUAAUCUAAAUCUACAUACUAAUCUUAUCACUUAGCUAAAACUAUGCGAGCGCGCUCGGUUUUCUCGCGUGUGUCACCGCUCUCUUUCUCUCUCUCUCUCUCUCUCUCUCUCUCUCUCUCUC